This 1985-nucleotide small RNA is filed under the name Pan troglodytes (chimpanzee). RNAcentral describes it as "retained intron". Lineage: Eukaryota; Metazoa; Chordata; Mammalia; Primates; Hominidae. The record is from RNAcentral.
AGCAGAUAUGGGGUCUUUAAGGGUCAGGGGCAUCCCUGCGCCGGGCAUGGAGCCGAAGGCUGGAUUUCAUUCCCCACUUGAACUGUGAAGAAUGUAUUGUGGGAGGGGCAGGCAGAAGUCCAUGCCCAGAGGCCCCCAGAAGCAUGAGGCCGGGGACUCCAGCCCUGCAGAAAACCCCAGAACAAUGAUGUCUGUCCUCAGUGGGGCCAUGUGGAGUGCCACCUCGAGGAGUGCCAGGCCCUCUCCUGCCCCCAUGGCUGGGCGAAGGUGCCCCAGGCUGACAGCUGCUGUGAGCGAUGCCAAGCUCCCACCCAGUCCUGCGUGCACCAGGGCCGUGAGGUGGCCUCUGGAGAGCGCUGGACUGUGGACACCUGCACCAGCUGCUCCUGCAUGGCGGGCACCGUGCGUUGCCAGAGCCAGCGCUGCUCACCGCUCUCGUGUGGCCCCGACAAGGCCCCUGCCCUGAGUCCUGGCAGCUGCUGCCCCCGCUGCCUGCCUCGGCCCGCUUCCUGCAUGGCCUUCGGAGACCCCCAUUACCGCACCUUCGACGGCCGCCUGCUGCACUUCCAGGGCAGUUGCAGCUAUGUGCUGGCCAAGGACUGCCACAGCGGGGACUUCAGUGUGCACGUGACCAAUGAUGACCGGGGCCGGAGCGGUGUGGCCUGGACCCAGGAGGUGGCGGUGCUGCUGGGAGACGUGGCCGUGCGGCUGCUGCAGGACGGGGCAGUCACGGUGGAUGGGCACCCGGUGGCCUUGCCCUUCCUGCAGGAGCCGCUGCUGUAUGUGGAGCUGCGAGGACACACUGUGAUCCUGCACGCCCAGCCCGGGCUCCAGGUGCUGUGGGAUGGGCAGUCCCAGGUGGAGGUGAGCGUACCUGGCUCCUACCAGGGCCGGACUUGUGGGCUCUGUGGGAACUUCAAUGGCUUUGCCCAGGACGAUCUGCAGGGCCCUGAGGGGCUGCUCCUGCCCUCGGAGGCUGCGUUUGGGAAUAGCUGGCAGGUGCAAGAGGGCCGCGGGUAUCCCCCAGGGCUGGAGCUGCCCCCUGUGCUGCUGCAGAUGGAGUGGAGCUGGCGGGCCCAGGAGCAGGUAAGGGCUGGCUGGGGGUGUGGCUGAGGCCAGGGUGGGUGCCCCCUCACGCCCUGGCACCCCAUCUUCCUGCAGCUCCUGUGGGACUUGGAACUGCUGACUGGUGUGGAGCUGGGCCUCUUCUGGCCACCCCAGGCCCAGUUUUUCGGUCCGAGGGGCCAGGCCCAGCAAGCAUGGAGCCAGUGCUGUCAGCCAGGUGGUAGCACAGGUGGGGACCCUGAGCAGCCGAUACUGAAGGCCAGCUGUGAUGGCUCACGCCUGUAAUCCCAGCACUUUGGGAGGCUGAGGCAGGUGGAUCGCUUGAACCCAGGAGUUUGAGACCAGAAUGGGCCACACAGAAAUUGGGAUGGCGGUUCUUGUUAAGCUCCCCUAUGCCGCCCAGCAGGAAACCAGUCACCGUGUCCUCGUCUCCGAUCACUGCGAUGAGCUUACCCCUCCCCGCCAUCCCUGCAGCCGGGCAGAGCUCACCCUAGAGCACCAGAAGCCACUGAAACCCCGCCUCCGCCGCACGGCGCCCCGUCGGCCUCAACCCCCACCCUUCGAGCAUGCGCAGUCCUCCCAGCCGCAUUCCGGGACAUGCGCAUUAACAGCAACACGGCCUCCAUGUGAAUACGCCUGCGCCGUAAAGACAGGCCCGAACCAGGGGACUACGAUUCCCAGAAGACCGCGCGGCACCACGUCCUUCGCGGGCAUUCAUUCGUUCAUUCACUCGUUCCUUGGUUCAUUCGUUCAACAAGCGCUUUGGACCUGACGCUGUUAGACGCCGAGACCCCAGAGAAGAGACGCAGUUACUCAUCUCAAGGGCAGGAUCUGGGUCUUUAUCGUGUAUGUAUGUGUGUAACUAUGACACAUAGUUCACAAGUAACACACGUUUGUUCAGUUAAAGGAAUGCAAAAGUU